This 271-nucleotide unclassified non-coding RNA is filed under the name Hevea brasiliensis (rubber tree). Lineage: Eukaryota; Viridiplantae; Streptophyta; Magnoliopsida; Malpighiales; Euphorbiaceae. The record is from RNAcentral.
CCGGGGACAUGUGAGGUAGGACACUGUGAAAUGUAAAUGUAAAGGUAAAAAAUCUAACUAAAUCUACUGAGGAAUGCAUGCAAGCAAUAAAGAAGGCAGGGCACUGCAAUGCCAAGUCAGGACAUCGGAGGCAGGACACUGAAUGUAAAAGUUGUGUUCAUGCACUGCAUGCACUGUGGGUGUGUGAAUGAACUCAUAGCCAAGCGAGCACCAAAUAUUAUGUAUAGCAUUUUGUAGCGAAAAGAUCAAUCUGUUGGCAAGAUGUUGAUUU